UGUCUGUUUCAACAGCCCUGCCCCUCCUCGGAGCCUGCUUGUGGAAUUCUUCCCCUUCGGGUGUGUGGUGGCAUUCCCCGCCACGUCCAAUGUGGACUCCAAAGGAUUUGUCCCUUCUUUGUCAUUUGAAAUGAAAUGAUGGCCACGCGUCGGACUGGUCUGUCUGAGGGAGAUGGUGACAAGCUCAAGGCCUGCGAGGUCUCAAAAAAUAAAGAUGGAAAAGAACAAAGUGAAACUGUAUCACUGUCUGAAGAUGAAACAUUCUCCUGGCCAGGUCCCAAAACAGUUACGUUGAAAAGAACAUCUCAAGGCUUUGGUUUUACAUUAAGACAUUUUAUUGUUUAUCCCCCAGAGUCUGCAAUUCAAUUUUCAUAUAAGGAUGAAGAAAAUGGAAACAGAGGAGGAAAACAAAGAAACCGCUUGGAACCAAUGGAUACCAUAUUUGUUAAGCAAGUUAAAGAAGGAGGACCUGCUUUUGAAGCUGGAUUAUGUACAGGUGACCGAAUUAUAAAAGUCAAUGGAGAAAGUGUUAUUGGCAAAACCUAUUCCCAAGUAAUUGCUUUAAUUCAAAACAGUGAUACAACAUUGGAACUUAGUGUUAUGCCAAAAGAUGAAGACAUUCUCCAAGUGGUAAGUUUUAUUUAUUCAUAUAUGAGUUGUUUUACAGUCAUGAAUGUUCGGAAAAUAUUUUUGAGAUGGAAGUAUUAAAGAUGGAAUUUAAAAAAAAUUCUAGAAUUUAAAAACCCUCUGGUUCCUUUUACAGAAUCUGGAAUUCUCUACAUUUUACAAAAAUACCAUUGCCAAGUUUUUGCAAUUAAGUGACAUGGAAAUGUUAUGUUGAUUCUACAGUGAACUCUUAAUGCUCUCAUUUAGAAUGAGAUUCCUAAAGAGUUUGUCCUAGUGUUGCCUUCUAGUUCAUCCUUGGACCAAAGGAAGAGUUUAGAGUGCAAGUGCAUAUCCCCAGGAAUUAGAAUCUUUUUUUUUUUCCUUCUCACUAUGUACAGAGAAAAAAAAAAAAUAGAAUCUUAUUUUUGUAAUACGAGGACAAACUUUAUGAUUGCCAUUUUCUAAUUUUCCAAUAAAUAUUACGUUUGUAAAUUCACCAAGCAGUAUUGUUAGUAGUAUCAAUUCGUUCCUAAAAUGUUCACAAUGAACGGAGUCUACAACUUAAGGGGAAAAUAUGUUAUGGUCUUGAAAUGAAACUUGAAAACUUUAGUAUUUAGUCUAAAAUAUUUUUCUGAUUUUUAUAAAGAAAGAAAUUGAAUAGAAUACUUAACUCCUUUACUAAGCUUAAAUACUGCUGAUGAUAAAAAUAUAAAUUUCAUCUGGGCACGGUGGCUCACGCCUGUAAUCCCAGCACUUUGGGAGGCCGAGGCGGGCGGAUCAUGAGGUCAGGAGUUCGAGACUAGCCUGGCCAAUGUGGUGAAACCCUAUCUCUACCCUAUCUCUACUAAAUACAAAAAUUAGCUGGGCAUUGUGGUGGGCACCUGUAAUCCCAGCUACUUGGGAGGCUGAGACAGGAGAAUCGCUUGAAACCGGAAGGCAGAGGUUGCAGUGAGCCAAGAUCGCGCCACUGCACUCCAGCCUGGGUGAAACAGCAAAACUUCAUCUC
RNAcentral lists this long non-coding RNA (1612 nucleotides) under Homo sapiens (human). RNAcentral describes it as "non-protein coding lnc-PRTFDC1-1:3". Lineage: Eukaryota; Metazoa; Chordata; Mammalia; Primates; Hominidae. The record is from RNAcentral.